This is a long non-coding RNA of Anolis carolinensis (green anole), 344 nucleotides long. RefSeq lists it as uncharacterized. NCBI's taxonomy places the organism in Eukaryota, Metazoa, Chordata, Lepidosauria, Squamata, Anolidae. The record is from RefSeq and is a predicted model, not a curated record. The transcript has 2 exons.
UCUUUCAAAACAGAAUUAACCAACAGAACAAAUGAGAGCUUUGUACAGUUCAGAAGCAGAAGAAACCGGGGAAGAGGCACAGGAGGGGGUUUUGGCCCGGGGCCCCUUCACCUGCGCUUGUGGCGGAGAUUGAAGGCGAUCCAGGGCACGAAGCGGUACUUGUAGGACUCCCAGCGUCUCCUCAGAGCCCUCCAGAACAUGGCUGCCGCCCCGGAAGAGGAGGAGCAGGAAGAGGAAAGAGGGAAGGCAGAGCCAACUCAAGCCUCCUCCCCGCUCCUCCCACGCGUGCCUUUAAAACGUUGGCUGGAAUUUGGUGUUCUUAAGCCAAGAAUGGCCUCAAAAUA